RNAcentral lists this ribosomal RNA (776 nucleotides) under uncultured Neocallimastigales. RNAcentral's name for it is "partial large subunit ribosomal RNA". It matches the Rfam family "Eukaryotic large subunit ribosomal RNA", at positions 18 to 635 of the family's 3401-position model. The record is from RNAcentral. Lineage: Eukaryota; Fungi; Neocallimastigomycota; Neocallimastigomycetes; Neocallimastigales.
UCAGACGAUGCGUCAUGCAUAUCAAUAAGCGGAGGAAAAGAAACUAACAAGGAUUCCCCUAGUAACGGCGAGUGAAGCGGGAAGAGCUCAAAUUUGAAAUCUUCAAGGUUUUACCUUGACGAAUUGUAGUUUAAAGAAGUGUUUUCUGUUGGAGUUUUGGUAAAAGUUCUUUGGAAAUAGGGACAUCAUAGAGGGUGAGAAUCCCGUAUUUGACCAUUAUCUCCAGCUUUGUGAUACACUUUCAAAGAGUCGGAUUGUUUGGGAAUGCAGUCCAAAAUGGGUGGUAAAUUUCAUCUAAAGCUAAAUAUUGGCGAGAGACCGAUAGCGAACAAGUACCGUGAGGGAAAGAUGAAAAGAACUUUGAAAAGAGAGUUAAACAGUACGUGAAAUUGUCAAAAGGGAAGCGUUUGACACCAGUGUUGUUUUCUCGAAAAUCAAUUAAAAAGAGUUGGAUUUUGUGUUGUAUUGACCUUAACAGCUUGCUUCACUCUUUUCCUGCUUUUCUUAAUGCACUUUUCGUUUAACAAGUCAACAUCAGUUUCCUUUGUUGUAAAAGGGUCAUUGGAAGGUGGCUUUCUCUUCGGAGAAAGUGUUUAUAGCCUUUGAUCUCUGCAAUCGGAGAGACUGAGGUCUGCAGCGUAGAUCCUUCGGGGUUAGAUACAUUUGUGCUAAGCUACAGCUUUUCAUAGACAACUUGUUGACUAUGUUUAGUCUUGUAACUUACCCGCUUAUGCUAUUUUACCUACGCUUAGGAUGUUGAUAUGCAUGACUGAUAU